CACCUAAGGACAACCUUGUCCGCAUCUUUGGACAGUGGGAGGAAGCUGGAGCACCUGGAGGGAACCCACGCAGACUCAGCACCAACACCACUGAGGGAAAGAAGCUGAAUGAAGAUAACAAAACCGCAGGUCCUGGUGAUGGCCUGCCUUGUUUGAUGUCUCGCACGCAGAAGUGAGUAUUCUACUUCAGGCACUACAAUUGUAUUCCCUCUGGAGUGGAGGUAGCCACUCUUAUCUGUCUCAUGUACUACUGUCAGGAAAAAAUGAAUGGUUAUUUUAAAAAAAUCUUACCUGCCCUAGAUUUAACAUUAUUUGCUUUUUCUGUCCUUCAUUCUGGUCAUGGUCAUGCAUCUUCCUGUUCAUCUGUGCCAUGACUGAGUUUUCCAUCUUGCAUCUACUUUGGAUCACUCCACAAAUACCGGUUCUAUACUGCUGAUGUUUCAUUUAUCUAAUGUUAAUUCAAUUGAAACCAUUUUGACAAUAAAGUGGGUGCAGUAAAGCAAAAUUCUGCUUGAAUGUUCAGGUUUUAUUAGUUGUUUAAAUACUUUCUGUUCUGCAGAGUGGAAUCUUCAUUCUACAAAAACGAAAGGCCAUCAUCCGAUGUCUCAUUGACCAUCCGGGAGAAGAUGCAAGUGCCUUGAUGAAGGACUUUGAGACUGCACGCGUCAAGUCGACCAUGUUACUAUAGUAGCCCUGAACGGACAAACCAAACAAUGACUCUAGAUAGGGCCUUCCCAUUUUUCUGAAGUUUCACUGCCAUCGUAGUUUCUCCUAUACACUUGGCCCGACCUAGAGCCAGUCUUUGGUUUGUCAAUUCUGCACUACUGUAGAAACAUGACUAUGCAACGUGGCGGACUCUGAGCAAGAGGACCCCUGCCGUCUGUACACAUAAAAAGGGUCAUAAUAGGUGAUUAUACACUACUGAAAACAUAUUUGUGAAUAUCAUUCUAUUUCUGCCAUAUUUUGCAAAUCUCUCUACACACUGGACUUUAAGUUAAUUCAAAAGCCAAUUAUUUUUGGUGCAUUUUACCCAUU
Micropterus dolomieu (smallmouth bass) is the source of this 1035-nucleotide long non-coding RNA. RefSeq lists it as uncharacterized. The transcript is spliced from 5 exons. Lineage: Eukaryota; Metazoa; Chordata; Actinopteri; Centrarchiformes; Centrarchidae. The record is from RefSeq and is a predicted model, not a curated record.